This 1542-nucleotide ribosomal RNA is filed under the name Shigella boydii. Its description in RNAcentral is "bacterial SSU rRNA". It matches the Rfam family "Bacterial small subunit ribosomal RNA". RNAcentral also lists the same sequence under 1 other name. The record is from RNAcentral. Lineage: Bacteria; Pseudomonadati; Pseudomonadota; Gammaproteobacteria; Enterobacterales; Enterobacteriaceae.
AAAUUGAAGAGUUUGAUCAUGGCUCAGAUUGAACGCUGGCGGCAGGCCUAACACAUGCAAGUCGAACGGUAACAGGAAGCAGCUUGCUGCUUCGCUGACGAGUGGCGGACGGGUGAGUAAUGUCUGGGAAACUGCCUGAUGGAGGGGGAUAACUACUGGAAACGGUAGCUAAUACCGCAUAAUGUCGCAAGACCAAAGAGGGGGACCUUCGGGCCUCUUGCCAUCGGAUGUGCCCAGAUGGGAUUAGCUUGUUGGUGGGGUAACGGCUCACCAAGGCGACGAUCCCUAGCUGGUCUGAGAGGAUGACCAGCCACACUGGAACUGAGACACGGUCCAGACUCCUACGGGAGGCAGCAGUGGGGAAUAUUGCACAAUGGGCGCAAGCCUGAUGCAGCCAUGCCGCGUGUAUGAAGAAGGCCUUCGGGUUGUAAAGUACUUUCAGCGGGGAGGAAGGGAGUAAAGUUAAUACCUUUGCUCAUUGACGUUACCCGCAGAAGAAGCACCGGCUAACUCCGUGCCAGCAGCCGCGGUAAUACGGAGGGUGCAAGCGUUAAUCGGAAUUACUGGGCGUAAAGCGCACGCAGGCGGUUUGUUAAGUCAGAUGUGAAAUCCCCGGGCUCAACCUGGGAACUGCAUCUGAUACUGGCAAGCUUGAGUCUCGUAGAGGGGGGUAGAAUUCCAGGUGUAGCGGUGAAAUGCGUAGAGAUCUGGAGGAAUACCGGUGGCGAAGGCGGCCCCCUGGACGAAGACUGACGCUCAGGUGCGAAAGCGUGGGGAGCAAACAGGAUUAGAUACCCUGGUAGUCCACGCCGUAAACGAUGUCGACUUGGAGGUUGUGCCCUUGAGGCGUGGCUUCCGGAGCUAACGCGUUAAGUCGACCGCCUGGGGAGUACGGCCGCAAGGUUAAAACUCAAAUGAAUUGACGGGGGCCCGCACAAGCGGUGGAGCAUGUGGUUUAAUUCGAUGCAACGCGAAGAACCUUACCUGGUCUUGACAUCCACGGAAGUUUUCAGAGAUGAGAAUGUGCCUUCGGGAACCGUGAGACAGGUGCUGCAUGGCUGUCGUCAGCUCGUGUUGUGAAAUGUUGGGUUAAGUCCCGCAACGAGCGCAACCCUUAUCCUUUGUUGCCAGCGGUCCGGCCGGGAACUCAAAGGAGACUGCCAGUGAUAAACUGGAGGAAGGUGGGGACGACGUCAAGUCAUCAUGGCCCUUACGACCAGGGCUACACACGUGCUACAAUGGCGCAUACAAAGAGAAGCGACCUCGCGAGAGCAAGCGGACCUCAUAAAGUGCGUCGUAGUCCGGAUUGGAGUCUGCAACUCGACUCCAUGAAGUCGGAAUCGCUAGUAAUCGUGGAUCAGAAUGCCACGGUGAAUACGUUCCCGGGCCUUGUACACACCGCCCGUCACACCAUGGGAGUGGGUUGCAAAAGAAGUAGGUAGCUUAACCUUCGGGAGGGCGCUUACCACUUUGUGAUUCAUGACUGGGGUGAAGUCGUAACAAGGUAACCGUAGGGGAACCUGCGGUUGGAUCACCUCCUUA